This 202-nucleotide long non-coding RNA is filed under the name Vigna radiata. Its description in RNAcentral is "long non-coding RNA (VRAD_LNC008447)". Lineage: Eukaryota; Viridiplantae; Streptophyta; Magnoliopsida; Fabales; Fabaceae. The record is from RNAcentral.
GCGUACUCGUCUGAGCCCGGUCACCAGACCCGAACCAUGGGCUCUGAUACCAUUGUUGGGGAGGUUCGACACACACAUAGAUAUCCAAACAUGGUAAGAUAUUGUCCGCUUUGGGCCAAGCUCUCACAAAUUUACUUUUGGCACCACUCCAAAAGGCCUCUUACCAAAGGAGGUAUCUAUGUGUAUAUAAACCCUUAACCAG